RNAcentral lists this ribosomal RNA (254 nucleotides) under uncultured bacterium. RNAcentral describes it as "partial 16S ribosomal RNA". It matches the Rfam family "Bacterial small subunit ribosomal RNA", at positions 524 to 776 of the family's 1533-position model. The record is from RNAcentral.
GACAGAGGGUGCAAACGUUGUUCGGAAUCACUGGGCGUAAAGCGCACGUAGGCGGACUUUUAAGUCGGAGGUGAAAUCCUGGAGCUCAACUCCAGAACUGCCUUCGAUACUGAGAGUCUUCGAGUUCGGGAGAGGUGAGUGGAACUGCGAGUGUAGAGGUGAAAUUCGUAGAUAUUCGCAAGAACACCAGUGGCGAAGGCGGCUCACUGGCCCGGUACUGACGCUGAGGUGCGAAAGCGUGGGGAGCAAACAGG